CCUGUCAACUGUCAGUAUUUGCAGAGUAUUUCCCCCAUCGAGCUCGAGGCUCCCAAAUGGAAAUUUUGUAAGAGCAAUUUUGUCGACUAUUUUAAAGAAAACAAUUAAUUCAACAAUGGCUAUGAGCUUGUUAAUGCACGAAGAAGCCAAAAACCACAUUAGAAUAUAUUUGAAGGGAAUCCAUGACAAAUCGCCCCACUUUUUCACUAACUCGCCCCACUUUAAAAACAAGAGUGCACACACUGAAAUGUCUCGCCUUCUUUACUUAUCAUUGAUAUUAUGUUGAUAGUCCUAAUAAUAAAGCGUUAUUACAACUGUCACAUAAUCUUAACAUAAACCAAGAAAACUAAACAUUGACCUUUGAACCAUGAAAAUGAGGUCAAGGUCAGAUAAACCAUGCCAGGUAGGCA
Molecule: long non-coding RNA, 410 nt
Filed under: Mytilus galloprovincialis (Mediterranean mussel)
Lineage: Eukaryota; Metazoa; Mollusca; Bivalvia; Mytilida; Mytilidae
Source: RNAcentral